Molecule: ribosomal RNA, 871 nt
Filed under: bacterium enrichment culture clone CH470
Lineage: Bacteria
Description: bacterial SSU rRNA
Rfam family: Bacterial small subunit ribosomal RNA
Source: RNAcentral
GAGUUUGAUCCUGGCUCAGGACGAACGCUGGCGGCGUGCCUAACACAUGCAAGUCGAACGAAGUAUAUUUUCGGAUAUGCUUAGUGGCGGACGGGUGAGUAACGCGUGAACAAUCUGCCCUGUACACAGGAAUAGCCUCGGGAAACUGGGAUUAAAACCGGAUAACACUUCUUGGUCGCAUGAGUAAGAAGUCAAAUUGAUUUAGAGGUACAGGAUGAGUUCGCGUCUGAUUAGCUAGUUGGUGAGGUAAUGGCUCACCAAGGCGACGAUCAGUAGCCGGCCUGAGAGGGUGAACGGCCACACUGGAACUGAGACACGGUCCAGACUCCUACGGGAGGCAGCAGUGGGGAAUAUUGCACAAUGGAGGAAACUCUGAUGCAGCGACGCCGCGUGAGUGAAGAAGGUCUUCGGAUCGUAAAACUCUGUCCUUGGUGACGAAAAAAAUGACGGUAGCCAAGGAGGAAGCCCCGGCUAACUACGUGCCAGCAGCCGCGGUAAUACGUAGGGGGCGAGCGUUGUCCGGAUUUACUGGGCGUAAAGGGUGAGUAGGCGGUAAUAUGUGUCAGAUGUAAAAGGCUAUGGCUUAACCAUAGUUGGCAUUUGAAACUGUAUUACUUGAGUGCAGGAGAGGUAAGUGGAAUUCCUAGUGUAGCGGUGAAAUGCGUAGAUAUUAGGAGGAACACCAGUGGCGAAGGCGACUUACUGGACUGUAACUGACGCUGAGUCACGAAAGCGUGGGUAGCAAACAGGAUUAGAUACCCUGGUAGUCCACGCUGUAAACGAUGAGUGCUAGGUGUUGGGUAGCGAUAUUCAGUGCCGAAGUUAACACAAUAAGCACUCCGCCUGGGGAGUACGGUCGCAAGACUGAAAC